UACGUAGGGUGCAAGCGUUGUCCGGAAUUAUUGGGCGUAAAGAGCUCGUAGGCGGUCUGUCGCGUCGGCUGCGAAAACCCGGGGCUCAACCCCGGGCCUGCAGUCGAUACGGGCAGACUAGAGUGCGGUAGGGGAGACUGGAAUUCCUGGUGUAGCGGUGAAAUGCGCAGAUAUCAGGAGGAACACCGGUGGCGAAGGCGGGUCUCUGGGCCGUAACUGACGCUGAGGAGCGAAAGCGUGGGGAGCGAACAGG
This 253-nucleotide ribosomal RNA is filed under the name uncultured bacterium. RNAcentral's name for it is "partial 16S ribosomal RNA". It matches the Rfam family "Bacterial small subunit ribosomal RNA", at positions 524 to 776 of the family's 1533-position model. The record is from RNAcentral.